Molecule: non-coding RNA, 297 nt
Organism: Erinaceus europaeus (western European hedgehog)
Lineage: Eukaryota; Metazoa; Chordata; Mammalia; Eulipotyphla; Erinaceidae
Source: Rfam
GGAUAUGAAGGCAAUCCGACUGCGACAUUUCUCACCCCAUUGAUCACCAGGGUUGAUUCAGCUCCUGCCCCAGGUAAUGUGCUUGGCUGGCUAGGUGGGUGUCCCCUUCCUCUCUCACCACUCAUGUGCGUCCCUCCUGAAGCUGCACCCUCCAUUGAAGAGGACGGCCUUCCCCAAAUAGAGGCAGGCUGGUCUUUGGUCCCCUGCGCUCCCCUGCUAGAACCUCCAAACAAGCUCUCUGGAGAGAUCCUGGUUAUAUUUUGUUGAGUUUCCAGGUGAUUUUCAUGUUUGGUUUUU